RNAcentral lists this ribosomal RNA (450 nucleotides) under uncultured bacterium. RNAcentral describes it as "partial 16S ribosomal RNA". It matches the Rfam family "Bacterial small subunit ribosomal RNA", at positions 354 to 796 of the family's 1533-position model. The record is from RNAcentral.
GUGGGGAAUUUUGGACAAUGGGCGCAAGCCUGAUCCAGCAAUGCCGCGUGCAGGAAGAAGGCCUUCGGGUUGUAAACUGCUUUUGUACGGAACGAAACGGUCCUGGCUAAUACCUGGGGCUAAUGACGGUACCGUAAGAAUAAGCACCGGCUAACUACGUGCCAGCAGCCGCGGUAAUACGUAGGGUGCGAGCGUUAAUCGGAAUUACUGGGCGUAAAGCGUGCGCAGGCGGUGCUGUAAGACAGGCGUGAAAUCCCCGGGCUCAACCUGGGAAUUGCGCUUGUGACUGCAGUGCUGGAGUGCGGCAGAGGGGGAUGGAAUUCCGCGUGUAGCAGUGAAAUGCGUAGAUAUGCGGAGGAACACCGAUGGCGAAGGCAAUCCCCUGGGCCUGCACUGACGCUCAUGCACGAAAGCGUGGGGAGCAAACAGGAUUAGAAACCCUAGUAGUCC